CAGCAGCCGCGGUAAAACAGAGGGUGCGAGCGUUAAUCGGAUUUACUGGGCGUAAAGCGCACGCAGGCGGUCUGUCAAGUCAGAUGUGAAAUCCCCGGGCUUAACCUGGGAACUGCAUUUGAAACUGGCAGGCUAGAGUCUUGUAGAGGGGGGUAGAAUUCCAGGUGUAGCGGUGAAAUGCGUAGAGAUCUGGAGGAAUACCGGUGGCGAAGGCGGCCCCCUGGACAAAGACUGACGCUCAGGUGCGAAAGCGUGGGGAGCAAACAGGAUUAGAUACCCGCGUAGUCCCUGUCUCUUAUAC
This 301-nucleotide ribosomal RNA is filed under the name uncultured bacterium. RNAcentral's name for it is "partial 16S ribosomal RNA". It matches the Rfam family "Bacterial small subunit ribosomal RNA", at positions 509 to 807 of the family's 1533-position model. The record is from RNAcentral.